This 646-nucleotide ribosomal RNA is filed under the name uncultured bacterium. RNAcentral describes it as "partial 16S ribosomal RNA". It matches the Rfam family "Bacterial small subunit ribosomal RNA", at positions 233 to 858 of the family's 1533-position model. The record is from RNAcentral.
GCGUCUUAUCAGGUAGUUGGUGGGGUAAUCGCUCACCAAGCCUAUGACGGGUAGCUGGUCUGAGAGGAUGGUCAGCCAGACUGGGACUGCGACACGGCCCAGACUCCUACGGGAGGCAGCAAUUAGGAAUCUUGCGCAAUGGGCGAAAGCCUGACGCAGCGACGCCGCGUGGUGGAUGAAGGCCUUCGGGUUGUAAACACCUUUUAUAGUGGAACAAGUUCUGAGUGUACACUAUGAAUAAGCACCUUCCAACUACGUGCCAGAAGAAUCGGUGAUGCGUAGGGUGCAAGCGUUAUCCGGAUUUACUGGGCGUAAAGAGAAGCGUAGGCGUCUUAGUAAGUCUUCAGUGCAAUCUUUCAGCUUAACUGGAAAACUGCUGAGGAAACUACUUUGAUUGAGGCAGACAGGGGAAAGGGGAAUUCCUGGUGGAGCGGUGAAAUGCGUUGAUAUCAGGAGGAAUACCAAUGGCGAAGGCACCUUUCUGGGUCUGUUCUGACGCUAAGGCUCGAAAGCGUGGGGAGCAAAACGGAUUAGAUACCCGUGUAGUCCACGCCCUAAACAAUCCCUACUAGAUAUUUGUCUUCGGAGUUGUGUUAUUUAACUUCGGUUGAAUAUUCCGACUCCAGAUGAGUGUCGCAGCUAACGC